UACGUAGGGGGCUAGCGUUGUCCGGAAUCAUUGGGCGUAAAGCGCGUGUAGGCGGCCCGGUAAGUCCGCUGUGAAAGUCGGGGGCUCAACCCUCGGAUGCCGGUGGAUACUGUCGGGCUGGAGUGCGGAAGAGGCGAGUGGAAUUCCUGGUGUAGCGGUGAAAUUCGUAGAUAUUAGGAGGAACACCGGAAGCGAAAGCGGCUAUCUGGCUAGAUACUGACGCUGUUGCACGAAAGCGUGGGGAUCAAACAGG
This 253-nucleotide ribosomal RNA is filed under the name uncultured bacterium. Its description in RNAcentral is "partial 16S ribosomal RNA". It matches the Rfam family "Bacterial small subunit ribosomal RNA", at positions 524 to 776 of the family's 1533-position model. The record is from RNAcentral.